This 253-nucleotide ribosomal RNA is filed under the name uncultured bacterium. RNAcentral's name for it is "partial 16S ribosomal RNA". It matches the Rfam family "Bacterial small subunit ribosomal RNA", at positions 524 to 776 of the family's 1533-position model. The record is from RNAcentral.
UACGAAGGGGGCUAGCGUUGUUCGGAAUUACUGGGCGUAAAGCGCGCGCAGGCGGUUUUCCAAGUCAGUGGUGAAAGCCCAGAGCUCAACUCUGGAAUUGCCAUUGAAACUGGUGAACUUGAGUACGAGAGAGGUGAGUGGAAUUCCCAGUGUAGAGGUGAAAUUCGUAGAUAUUGGGAAGAACACCGGUGGCGAAGGCGGCUCACUGGCUCGUUACUGACGCUCAGGCGCGACAGCGUGGGGAUCAAACAGG